Molecule: ribosomal RNA, 499 nt
Filed under: uncultured bacterium
Lineage: Bacteria
Description: partial 16S ribosomal RNA
Rfam family: Bacterial small subunit ribosomal RNA
Source: RNAcentral
GAUGAACGCUGGCGGCGUGCCUAACACAUGCAAGUCGAGCGAGAUAAAUGUGAGUGGAGACUUCGGUCAAAGCGAUCAUUUUGAAAGCGGCGGACGGGUGAGUAACGCGUGAGCAAUCUGCCCCAUACAAAGGGAUACCCACUGGAAACGGUGAUUAAUACCUUAUAAGACCACGAAGUCGCCUGGCUUAGUGGCCAAAGAUUUAUCGGUAUGGGAUGAGCUCGCGUCUGAUUAGCUAGUUGGUGAGGUAAUGGCUCACCAAGGCGACGAUCAGUAGACGACCGGAGAGGAUGAACGGCCACACUGGAACUGAGACACGGUCCAGACUCCUACGGGAGGCAGCAGUGGGGAAUAUUGCACAAUGGGCGCAAGCCUGAUGCAGCAACGCCGCGUGAAUGAUGAAGGCCUUCGGGUCGUAAAGUUCUGUCCUAAGGGAAGAAUACAGUGACGGUACCUUAGGAGGAAGCCCCGGCUAACUACGUGCCAGCCGCCGCAGUAA